CCGCCUUUAGCUCAGUUGGUAGAGCAACUCCCUCUUAAGGAGAUGGUCCUUGGUUCGAAUCCAAGAAGGCGGA
RNAcentral lists this transfer RNA (73 nucleotides) under Parcubacteria bacterium C7867-007. RNAcentral describes it as "tRNA-Lys". It matches the Rfam family "tRNA". From Rfam's summary of the family: Transfer RNA (tRNA) molecules are approximately 80 nucleotides in length. Their secondary structure includes four short double-helical elements and three loops (D, anti-codon, and T loops). Lineage: Bacteria; Candidatus Parcubacteria. RNAcentral also lists the same sequence under 1 other name. The record is from RNAcentral.